GUGAAGAAAAACAACUUCCCAAAUUCCGGAAAUUGCUUUCUUAGAGUAGAGAAUUAUGCUUCACUAGCCCAAGACUCACAACCACAAUUGAAGAAGAAUGAAGAAGAAAAUAUAGCUCCAAAAAUACUAGAACUAAGAAAGUGGAAGACUUACUUGUAUAACUUGGAGAAUAUUUUAUUAACUCAAGAAGAUUUGCAUUUUGUUGGAUGAUGCAAAUGUGGAGGAGAGAGUGGGUAUAUAUAGGCUUUCCACCUCCUCAAUGGACGGUCAGGAUCUAUUUAAUCCUACGGUGUAGAUUCGUCUUCUAGAAUACUCCACACUUUUCUUACAAAAUAUCUAGAUAUUUUUAUCACCUACACUAAUCUAGAAAUAUCUCUUACAAAUAUCUCCUANNNN
This 396-nucleotide long non-coding RNA is filed under the name Nicotiana benthamiana. RNAcentral's name for it is "long non-coding RNA (NBEN_LNC030088)". The record is from RNAcentral. Lineage: Eukaryota; Viridiplantae; Streptophyta; Magnoliopsida; Solanales; Solanaceae.